GAUGGACACUACAGCACAAUAUAAGCUGAGCUGGAAAUUACAAUUGAUAAGAUAUCACAUUGGUUUGAGCAUGAUUCCCAGCAAGAUUAUGAAGGGGCAUAUAUAUCAUAUAUACAUAGGAAAUAUAUAGUGUCACUAAAUUACUCUCAUACGGUACCUCACCUCUGUAGCUGUAAAUUGCGAAACGGUGGAUUCAUUCAUAAUUUUGAGUUACUUAUUGCAAUUGGAAAUAACGUUGAUAUAGCUAACAGCAUUAUGCCAUGAUGUUGAUGGGAUGUUAUGAUUGGACAAAAAGGAAAUUGUGAAUUGAACAAAUAGCAAACUUGAAAUUCAUAGGAAAAAAAAGUAGGAAAUAGGAAUAAUGAAAAUUCAUAGUUUCAGUGAUUAUCUUACAAUCAUCAUGAUCAUUGUCAAUACUACAAGUGCAUCAUCAUUAUCAUAUAUAUCUGAAUUCACCUUGGAUAAUUAUACAUUUAAAAUAAUAAUUUGGAUAUAAUAAGAAUUUCUGUGCUGGCGUUGCUACUGUUGGCUUCAUGUACCACCAGCUGGGAGUGUUAAACCUUUUUGACCUUUCGUGAGGGUCUGUCACGGUCCGUCACAAUUGGUUAGUGUCAUAUAUGCAUGAUUAUGGAAGUUUCACCAACCUAGACAAGCUUUACAGCCCUGGCACGGUUGUUGGUUGCACUUAGAGUCAAAUGACAGCUUGCUGUAUACAUUUGUAGUUCAAAUAGUCUGAAUGAAUCUACAUGUAUGGUGACAAUCUUCUAAAUUACUGUUCAUUCUGAAACUGGCAUUUUAUACUAGUACAUGUAGUAGUCGAACAUAUUAAACAAUACAUGUACUUCAAA
Mytilus trossulus (common blue mussel) is the source of this 848-nucleotide long non-coding RNA. RefSeq lists it as uncharacterized. The transcript is spliced from 2 exons. The record is from RefSeq and is a predicted model, not a curated record. Lineage: Eukaryota; Metazoa; Mollusca; Bivalvia; Mytilida; Mytilidae.